Long non-coding RNA from Sander lucioperca (pikeperch), 168 nucleotides. RefSeq lists it as uncharacterized. The transcript has 4 exons. The record is from RefSeq and is a predicted model, not a curated record. NCBI's taxonomy places the organism in Eukaryota, Metazoa, Chordata, Actinopteri, Perciformes, Percidae.
CAGCGGCACUCAUAAUCAGUUUAAUUUUCCCCUGGAAAAGAAAUUGGCUGGUGGAAAAUCUGAUUGGCUGCAAACUUUAAAAAUCUACUAGCCAUGGUGGCUGGUGAUUAAAAAAGGUAAUUUAAAGACCCGGGUGAAGUCGAGCGUGGCAUUAUUUAACAUAGAAAA